RNAcentral lists this ribosomal RNA (321 nucleotides) under Symbiodinium sp. SydE1. Its description in RNAcentral is "partial large subunit ribosomal RNA". It matches the Rfam family "Eukaryotic large subunit ribosomal RNA", at positions 202 to 517 of the family's 3401-position model. The record is from RNAcentral. Lineage: Eukaryota; Dinophyceae; Suessiales; Symbiodiniaceae.
UAUACCUGGGUGAGAAUCCUGUGUUUCGUUUGAUGUCCGCCGUGCACGGUACUUGCUCACAGAGUCACGCUCCUCGGAAUUGGAGCGUAAAUUGGGUGGUAAAUUUCAUCUAAAGCUAAAUACAGGCUCGAGACCGAUAGCAAACAAGUACCAUGAGGGAAAGAUGAAAAGGACUUUGAAAAGAGAGUUAAAAGUGUUUGAAAUCGCUGAACUGGAAGCGAAUGGAACUAGUGCUCUGGCUGAGAUUGCUGUAAGUGGCAGCCAAAUUUGAGUGUCUGAACGCAAGUCUCUCACCUGGCUGUAAGCUGUUGCUUGCAAUGU